AUGGGACUGCCACUCGGGGCAGGGACUUCCCAGGCACAAAAUCCCCCCAGCCUUCUGCCCAGCACGCUGCAGAGAAGGUGCGCCGCAAUCCCAAGUACGGCAGUCAAUACGUGUCCCCGUACUCAUGUGCUGCCAUGCGGACAAGGACGGUCUCCUCAGUGGGUCGCUGGCCGGCCUCUGCGGGUGGCAGCAGGACAGCAGGUGUCUGAGCUGGCUGCAGGUGGUGUGAGUGUACAGCAACGGGCUUCAGGGAUUGGAGGGGUGGGGGCCACGCUGCCCCAGCCUCUCUUUCCCCCUCACAGCCUCUUAUCACAGGGUAACACCAUAUGCCAUAAAUAUCUCUCCUCUGCUGCCUGGGCUCUGUGUGGUUCUGAGCGUACAGGGCAUCCUGGGGGAGGACCUGCAGGGGUCCUGGUGCAGCCUCUAGGAUGGGACAGUGCAGGUGGUUCCUGCCCCAUUGUAGCCCCAGCCAAGUGUGUGCUGCUCUCCCCACAGCACUUUGAGAUGUUUCCCCACAGGGAUGCUUCUGGAUCAGGCUGA
RNAcentral lists this long non-coding RNA (540 nucleotides) under Chrysolophus pictus (golden pheasant). RNAcentral's name for it is "lncRNA (ENSCPIG00010008058.1)". Lineage: Eukaryota; Metazoa; Chordata; Aves; Galliformes; Phasianidae. The record is from RNAcentral.